RNAcentral lists this ribosomal RNA (499 nucleotides) under uncultured bacterium. RNAcentral's name for it is "bacterial SSU rRNA". It matches the Rfam family "Bacterial small subunit ribosomal RNA", at positions 899 to 1397 of the family's 1533-position model. The record is from RNAcentral.
ACUCAAAGGAAUAGACGGGGACCCGCACAAGCAGCGGAGCAUGUGGUUUAAUUCGAAGCAACGCGAAGAACCUUACCAAGACUUGACAUCGCCUGACCGCCCCGGAGACGGGGUUUCGGUAGCAAUACCGCAGGUAGACAGGUGGUGCAUGGUUGUCGUCAGCUCGUGUCGUGAGAUGUUCGGUUAAGUCCGGCAACGAGCGCAACCCCUGUGAUAUGUUGCCAAUAUUAAGUUAGGAACUCAUAUCAGACUGCCGUGGAUAACACGGAGGAAGGUGGGGACGACGUCAAAUCAUCAUGCCCCUUACGUCUUGGGCUACACACGUGCUACAAUGGCUGUUACAAAGAGCAGCGAGCCGGUAACGGUAAGCGAAUCUCAGAAAAACAGUCUCAGUUCAGAUUGUGGGCUGCAACCCGCCCACAUGAAGCAGGAGUUGCUAGUAAUCCCGAAUCAGAAUGUCGGGGUGAAUGCGUUCCCGGGUCUUGUACACACCGCCCGU